This 698-nucleotide ribosomal RNA is filed under the name uncultured archaeon. RNAcentral's name for it is "bacterial SSU rRNA". It matches the Rfam family "Archaeal small subunit ribosomal RNA", at positions 622 to 1319 of the family's 1478-position model. The record is from RNAcentral.
AGGGGUAGGAGUGAAAUCUUGUAAUCCCUGUGAGACCACCAGUGGCGAAGGCGUCUUACCAGAACGGGUCCGACGGUGAGGGACGAAAGCUGGGGGCACGAACCGGAUUAGAUACCCGGGUAGUCCCAGCUGUAAACGAUGCUCGUUAGGUGUCAGGAACGGUGCGACUGUUUCUGGUGCCGAAGGGAAGCCGUGAAACGAGCCACCUGGGAAGUACGGCCGCAAGGCUGAAACUUAAAGGAAUUGGCGGGGGAGCACUACAACGGGUGGAGCCUGCGGUUUAAUUGGACUCAACGCCGGAAAACUCACCGGGGGCGACAGCGAUAUGUAGGUCAGGUUAAAGGUCUUACCUGAAUCGCUGAGAGGAGGUGCAUGGCCGUCGUCAGUUCGUACUGUGAAGCAUCCUGUUAAGUCAGGCAACGAGCAAGACCCGUGCCCACUGUUACCAGCAUAUCCUUUAUGGAUGAUGGGGACUCUGUGGGGACCGCUGCUGCUAAAGCAGAGGAAGGUGCGGGCUACGGUAGGUCAGUAUGCCCCGAAUCUCCCGGGCUACACGCGGGCUACAAUGGUUGGGACAAUGGGUAUCUACUCCGAAAGGAGUUGGCAAUCUCUUAAGCCCAAUCGUAGUUCGAAUUGAGGGCUGUAACUUGCCCUCAUGAAGCUGGAAUCCGUAGUAAUCGCGUUUAACAUAGCGCGGU